CGUAAAUUUCUGUGUAUUUGACUUCAUUUCCUGUAAUUUACCGUCUCUCUGGUCCGCUAUCUAGGCAUUGCAUUAGGUAUACAUGUAGCUCUAGGAACACUAACACUCGUUGUUUAACUAAUCCUAUGAAUGUGUAAGAAAUAUAUAAUAUUAAGAACACUGUGUCAGUGUGAAGUGAACGUUUUUGAUAAUAUAGUCGGAUAAUAUAUUCGUGAUACUCUUUAUUUUGUUGAGAAGUUACUAAACAAUGAUGUUGUGAUCGACGGGAAAACAAUUAUAUGCGAUGUCUAAACUUGAAUGGGAUUGAUUAAAAGAUCAAAAGACCGAUACUGGAAAAGAUAAUGACUGUGACAAAAGGCGCUAAUCGAAGAAAACAAAUAUCAGAGACGAACAAUUACACAUGCAUUAGAUAUACAUGUCCAAGAGAAGAACGAAUAGACAUGCAUAACAUUCCAGGUCAAAUAUUGAACAAGGAUCAGAAGAAAGAAUAGAUUUAGACAUUUGUGAAAGGAACUAUGGAAACUUUGGAAGUGUACUCUUUCUGAAACGUAUAACUACAACAAAGAUGUGAUCAUUUUAUUAGAAACUGAAUUUUCCAGUCUUCUAGUGGUUUAAUUAGCAUACAAUGAUAUAUACCUUCAUGUUUUUAUACACUUAUCUUUUUUAUAUUUUUUUUAUCUUUAUAUUAUAUUUGAUCGAAGUAGCAAUGAAAAAAACGGGAAUAUAUAAAUAUAUAAGAGAAAGUUAUUGCAUUUUAUACUUGGAAUAACUUAAAGAGGAGAUAUGACGUUUCAUUGAUCCUUGAUAUUAGCACAAUUGUACGUGAUAUUAGUAACUCAUUUUAAUGGAAUAUAGCUGAAUUCAGAUACAUCGGUUCAGAAAGCGAUGCGACCUUGACUCAGCCCAUAUGUUUACCCGUAUAGAAUACUUUUUCGAUCAUAUUUGAAAUUCCUUUUUAAAUCAAAAACUAUUUAUUUGUAUGAAUGGGAUCGUCCGACAAAGAUUUCAAUUUCUCAGUCGGACAUAUUUUUUGUUGUUUAAGCAUUUUUAAAAUAGUUUAGAAACAAAAGAUCGUGCUCUAAUACUCAUUAUAUGACAAACUUUCCAGAAGGACCAUUCUUAGCCUAAAUCUGGAGUCCAGGUGUAUUUUAUUUUUAAUAUACAUUUCUCUGUAAAGCUAUUGUAUUUCUUUUAAAUUGCAUACUUUUACUCUUUGUAUAAGAUACGUUAUUAUUAUUUGAGUAAGCAUGCAGCUGAAGCAUCUUUUGUUCAGCUGCUUUGUCUGUAUGGAUAACAUCAAAGCGUAUAUAUCAAAAACACUAAAAAUAACAGAUAAAAGUGAAAAAUGUAAAUUGAAACAUUCGCAAUAUCUAAAUUUAAUAGAUGAUGUUUUUAAAGGAGAUUCAGACCAGGAACUAAAGAACUAGGAAAUUCUACAUGGUCGGGUAUGCGUAACACUAUACCACACGGCCGAUCAGUCGAUAAAUAGUAUGUAGAUAUUUUUCUCUAAUUACGUGGUUGACCUUGCUCAAAUGACAGGUCAUCCCUAUUAAAAUUGCUAGUUUUAUGCAUGUGCAGGCUUUUCAUUUACUUUGCAAAUAAAUUAUAUAUGCAACGAUAAAAAUGUUUACUAAGAUUAACAUAUACAUACACGAGAUACUGGAAACAAUUAUUAGCCACGGAUAGGGUAGUUUUGAUACAAGAACACCUUUAUAUUUUACACUGCGGGUCUUAGUCGUGUAACGUAUUGUUGAAAUUACUGUUGUUAUAAUGAUAUCUUAAACAAUGUGCGUCAUUUCAAGUCUAUGAUUCAGAGGUUUUGAUUUAUUCAUGCUAAUGUUAAAGAUAUAGUAAGAAAAGUAUAUUAGCAUAGGCAUUAUUGCUAUACCCUGUAACACCUUUAUACGUCUUUUUACAACAUACAUGUUUAUAUUUGUUAAAGGGAGCAAACUCAAAUAAA
This is a long non-coding RNA of Mercenaria mercenaria, 1960 nucleotides long. RefSeq lists it as uncharacterized. NCBI's taxonomy places the organism in Eukaryota, Metazoa, Mollusca, Bivalvia, Venerida, Veneridae. The transcript is spliced from 3 exons. The record is from RefSeq and is a predicted model, not a curated record.